GAUUUUCAAGCCAAAAAAUUUCUUAAAACCAAGAAAGUACUUGAAUAACAACAACCACAAUCCUUAGGCAAUAGUGUUAACUAUUACAAUUAUAAUAUUUCAAAUACAAAUAAAAUCUACACUUUCAAAUAUCCAAAAGUUGCCCAGGGAAUCACACUAACUCUAGACAAAAGUUGGCUAGUCUAGCGCCUCAAAUUCUUCACUUCAAAUUCCUGUUAAGGAAUAACAAUUUAAAGGAAUGAGCAGAUGCUUAGUGAGGCCAAGAAAUCAAGCAAGCAAGUAGAGCAAGUACCAUAAUUCAACUCAAAUAGUUCAUGUAUAGAAUAACAACAAUGGUUUCAAGUAAAACCACAAAAGGACUAAAAUAUGUUCAUUAAGAGGAUACAGGAGCUCUUAAGAGCUAAUCUACAAGCUUGCCAUGUCACGAUCUUGGAUAUCAUUUUCUUUUGUUGACACUCCGCCAACCACACAAGUAACAAAUCUAUAGAAUUCACUUGACACGAAUCCCCAUCCACCGUUUUAUCCCCUAUCGGGCCUGAAAGUCAAAUAGAAAUAGUGAUGGUAAUAUUCAAGUAUACCCAAGCAAGAACAAGUAUGAUCGAUGAGAUAACACUCUAAUCCAUUUAAUCAAGAUGGAGGUACUGAGAUAGGAUAAAAAGCACCUCCCACUCGGAUUGAUUAUGGUACAUACUGCCGCUGAAUACUAGGGUCGACGAGAUAAUCCUCCAAUCGAUUUAAUCAAGAUAGAGGUACUGAGAUGAAAUGAGAGGCACCUCCCACUCGGAUUGAGUGUGGUAUAUACUGCUGCUCAACACUUACAAGUCAAGUACAAGUAUAAACACAAGUACAAGUCAAUCAAGUUCAAGCAAGUACAAGAUCAUUCGAGAAGAAGAGAACGAAUGUAAUAAAAUACACCCUCGCCUCAUCAAGUUCAAUAUUUAACACAUAACACAUGAUAUCAUUCAAAUCAAGAUAUCAAGAAAUAUACACUUGACACUCACCAAUAGUCAAAUAAGCAAAACAAGAGAAAACUUUCACAAGUUCUCCUCGGGGUUUCUCUUGAAUUCCUCUUGAAUACUUGAGAUAUACACAAUCAACGAUUACCUAUAAUCGUUCAACCAAGGCCAAACAAUUUCCCCUUAACCCUUCACUCAAGCAUGCUCAAAUUCUUGUCGAAUUAAGAGAGAAACUCUCUUCAUUUAACCACUAAGAUAACACUCAAGAAAAGCUUUAAAAGUGCUCUAUUUGUAAGUCAAAACAUGGCAAGAGUUUUCGAUUUAAAAGUUAGCCAAACCUCUCAAGAGUUUAACAAAACAUACAUGGGAGGGAAAACCACUUUUACUUCCUUAACUCCUAAUCUUUUGCUCAAGUUUUGAUAUAUAUAAAUGAGCGUUCAAGUUUACUAAAACUUAUGAAGUCAAAACUUCACCAAAACCAUCAUUUAUUUCUUAGCAAAGACACCAACAAAUCCUCCAAGUUUUAAACAUCAAGCAAGUGAAAUUUUUCCACAAAACUCUUGGCAUGAUGCUUCACUUUUCACCCCUUUUUAAUUCAAACUUGUUGCUCCUUUUAAAAGCACAUUCGAGAGCAAUUGAUUAGCAAGUUAUGUUGAGCAAAAUUUCACUUUAAAGCUAGAUCAACUUGAGUGAACCAUGAGAGUUCACCACUAAAAACACAUUUAAAAGGCCUAAUAACUUUCAAGAUUUAAACCACUAGUUCUUGAUCCAAAACGUCAAGUUUUCUUAUUCAAGUCAAGAAAAAACUCAUAUACAUAAUAAAUCCAUAAUCCAAGUGUGAAAUGGAGUACAAGUAAUCAAGAAAGUUAGGUUUAAAAACCAGAAAAUGUUUCCAAGACCCUUCCAAGUUUUUUGUCAUUUCAUAAGAAAAAUUCCAAUUUUUGUAAUGCUUUUUGAAAAGUCAUAACUUGAGUUUCGUAAGCCCAAAAAUCAUAAAUCUUAUACCGUUAGAAAAUAGACUCAAACGACUGCAACUCUCUAGAAGACACCUUCAUAAAAUUCAAACCCAUAAAUUAGUCAAAUCUCAGUUUCAAUUCACUGCUCAACUAAGUGCAAAAACAGGACAGUCUUGAAUUUUCAGCCCAUUUUGAAAUUUUGCUGGUAUUUAUUGAAAGUGAACCAAACCAUGGAUUUUACAUGGUUAAAAGAGCCAUGAGUCUUGUUUCAAAUGCAAUAAACGAAACUCAAUUCAGAUUUUUCUACACUAAGAUAUAACAGAUUUCCCAAAACUUCUCAAAGUCUCCUGCGGGAAAAAAUUUUCAGCAAUCCUUGACUCAACUUUCCCAUUUAAACUCAUGAUUUUGGUUCAAAUCUAACUCACAGUCAAAGUUUAAUGUCCAACAUAGUUUGUGGAGUAAGAUUUUCCCAAAAUUUCUUGAAAAUAAGGGCUAAUAGCACUCAAAAGUUUCGGCCAUCAAGAAGCUUUCAAAACAGAAUUUUUUCACCAAAAUUUGCAGCAAAAUCCAAUCAAGAUUCAAGCUUUCUAAGAAAUAUACACACAAGCCACAAUAUCAAGUUUUAAAACACCAAAAUCUACCAUAAAUAUUCAUCAUAAAAGCACAAGAAUGAACUCAAGUCAUCUACCUAACUUGCCAUGAAAAUAUAAGGAAUUUUCCUCAAAUCAUCUACCUAAAUCAAGGUUUCAAGAAAACCCAUCAACAACCCAUCAAACAUUCAAUUUUUCUAGCUACAAAUCUACUAGAAAGUUGAAGGAAAAAUAGGGUUUCAAACCAAUACCUUUUCUAGCAAUUUCAAUCAAGCAACAAGUCCAAAUUUCCUCCAAGAGUUGCUCCCAAGCAAGACUUUCUUCCAAACUCAAGCAAGAUUCCAAGAAUCAUCCAAAGUUGGGGAAGAUUUGAAGCAAAAAUGGAGGACAAAAAGUUGAGCUUUUCUUCUCUUUUUUUUUUCCUAGCUCUCGGUCCUCUCUUUCUCCUUUGCUCUUGAUUUUGGUUGUUUCAUUUAUUUACAUUUUUUAAGGUAAGAAAGGAAAAAUUAAAUGACAAAAAAACUU
This 3027-nucleotide long non-coding RNA is filed under the name Coffea arabica (coffee). RNAcentral describes it as "long non-coding RNA (CARA_LNC003792)". Lineage: Eukaryota; Viridiplantae; Streptophyta; Magnoliopsida; Gentianales; Rubiaceae. The record is from RNAcentral.